Molecule: ribosomal RNA, 476 nt
Filed under: uncultured bacterium
Lineage: Bacteria
Description: bacterial SSU rRNA
Rfam family: Bacterial small subunit ribosomal RNA
Source: RNAcentral
CUACGUGCCAGCAGCCGCGGUAAUACGGAGGGUCCGGGCGUUAUCCGGAUUUAUUGGGUUUAAAGGGAGCGUAGGCUGGAGAUUAAGUGUGUUGUGAAAUGUAGACGCUCAACGUCUGACUUGCAGCGCAUACUGGUCUCCUUGAGUACGCACAACGUUGGCGGAAUUCGUCGUGUAGCGGUGAAAUGCUUAGAUAUGACGAAGAACUCCGAUUGCGAAGGCAGCUGACGGGAGCGCAACUGACGCUGAAGCUCGAAGGUGCGGGUAUCGAACAGGAUUAGAUACCCUGGUAGUCCGCACAGUAAACGAUGGAUGCCCGCUGUUGGUACCUGGUAUCAGCGGCUAAGCGAAAGCAUUAAGCAUCCCACCUGGGGAGUACGCCGGCRACGGUGAAACUCAAAGGAAUUGACGGGGGCCCGCACAAGCGGAGGAACAUGUGGUUUAAUUCGAUGAUACGCGAGGAACCUUACCCGGGC